This 253-nucleotide ribosomal RNA is filed under the name uncultured bacterium. RNAcentral describes it as "partial 16S ribosomal RNA". It matches the Rfam family "Bacterial small subunit ribosomal RNA", at positions 524 to 776 of the family's 1533-position model. The record is from RNAcentral.
UACAGGGGUGGCAAGCGUUGUUCGGAAUUACUGGGCGUAAAGCGUGCGCAGGCGGUUUUGUAAGUCUGUCGUGAAAUCCCCGGGCUCAACCUGGGAAUUGCGAUGGAGACUGCAAGGCUAGAAUCUGGCAGAGGGGGGUAGAAUUCCACGUGUAGCAGUGAAAUGCGUAGAGAUGUGGAGGAACACCGAUGGCGAAGGCAGCCCCCUGGGUCAAGAUUGACGCUCAUGCACGAAAGCGUGGGGAGCAAACAGG